This 2199-nucleotide long non-coding RNA is filed under the name Triticum aestivum (bread wheat). RNAcentral's name for it is "long non-coding RNA (TAES_LNC003927)". The record is from RNAcentral. Lineage: Eukaryota; Viridiplantae; Streptophyta; Magnoliopsida; Poales; Poaceae.
AUGAGGUCAUGCAGGUAUGACCAAUGAUCAUAUGCCUUAGGUAAUGCUUCAGAAGCUAUUCAUUGUAUUUUAGUUUUGGUUAGGUAGGUAUAAUGUCCAUCAUAAGCUCAUAUAAAUUUGGGUUAUUCAAGUAUUUGUGCAAGAAUUACUAAAAAAUACCCCUAAUUUAUUAUCUAAAGUAGUUAGCAGUAAUAUUGUACUCAUGAUUAUCAGCAAUAAAAAGCCCAUCUACUUUAGCCACAUUUCUCCCCCACAUAUGUACUGGAUUUUGUGGAAUCCAGACUAUCCAGAUGGUUGGAAUUUGAGGAGCCCGUUGGGUGGCCAUUUGAUGUCAAAACACGACCGGACGUAAGAGGUAGAAAUGAGCUUUAACAGAAAUAUGGAGAAUGAUUUGAGGGGUUGUAAAUGGUUGAGAUAGAGAAUCAUUUGAGCAGUUGUAAACGGUUGAUAUAGCAAAAUAUGCACAUCUGAUAUUGAUUAAGUUUUCUAUGAAAGAUUUUGCAUUACAUGCACCGGUGGAGCGUCGGCGGGACCAAGGAGGGUCCCGGCCCCCUUUUCAUGUGAAACAUUGCAAGGAUAAGCUUGUCCUAAUACUAAACACCCUGUUAAUCUUCCGGCCAUGGUUUAGGUUUAGCUUCAGGUUCAAACUGCUCAAAACAUCAUACUAUUCCAGUCUACCUUUCCAACUUUUCUUGGUCCAGUGUAACUAGAGAGAAGUGAAGAACUCAACUAGGUAGAUUAGAUGCCCCUUGUGUUGGUGAGAAUAUUUAUUUUUCUUAACCAAGCUCUCAAGAUACGAAGGAAAUAAUGAUUGUUAACCUACAUGCAUCAUGUUCAACCCAUCUUCUUCGCAACUAGUACAUUUUAUUUUUGCAUGUCCAUUGCUCAUUUAACUCCUGCCAUUUAUUCCUAGGAGCUCAUAUAUAUUUCUUUUCUUUUCUCCUUUCGCAUAUGGUCUCAUUGUUACUUCAAUAAUAGUACUAUGCAAUCAAAUUCUUUCUCCAGGAGCCAAUGGUCAAGUUUGUACAAUUUUUGUUUUUUAAAGAUGUCCUACCAGCUCUAUUGUCUAUAAAUGGUUCAGUCUAUGAUUUUUGUCGGGGAUUCGUCGCCGGCCUCCGUCCGACUUCUGCAGCAAAUAGUGCUUCUUUUGGAGGUAUGACGUCUACAUCUGUCAGUUGUUCCGCCACGAAUUCGGAUGCACUUUUAAUGUAUCUAUUGUGAUGUUGUAAAUAUAUAUAAAAAAAUAGAAUUACACAUCUGUUAUGUCUAGAUCCCGCUUUGUUUUUAGGACCUCAUUUUCUAUUGACAUGUACAUUAUACAUGCUUAGUUUGUGACAUGGAAGGGUCGCUCCUUGUCGCGGCACGUCGUCGCGGCACCUGCGCCUUUUUGCUUCAGAAAUUUGAAAUCCUGGUUUCUUCAGUUUUAAAUUUUACCAGUUAAUAUUUGUGAAGAUAUUCACAAGACUUUGGAAAUCUGUUAUGAACCUGCUCCACCUCCGUCCUCCCACUGUCCCUGUGUUGUGUCCGCUCAAGAGAAGGACUCGGAUCAGAGUCCAUGUGAUGUUUUCGUCCAGGAGUAUCUUUUGUGUUAACCCUGCUACAUGAUUACAUCUGCCUUUGGGUGAUUUUCCCUUUCCUUGCAUAUAUGUAGUAGUUCUGGAUUUCCAAGCUGUUGUUAUUGUACUAGACUGAGUGGUUAUGUAUGUAUUACUUUGUUUAGGACAAUUGCAGUAAGGAAGUAGGAGGAAGAAGAAAUGCAGGCCACCUCAUGAAAGGCAGCAACAAAGAUCCACAGGUUAGCAAUCUUGGUUCCUCUGCUUCUGCACUGCAUAUAUAUAUAUAUAUGGAACUGUGUACUGACAUGCCUCCUUAUCUAGAAUCCCCAUUUGUGCCAUCUAGAAGAAAAUUUGAGGAAGAGACUAAAAGGCACAUACAUGAGUAGCCUGAUUCUUGUCUUAGAAAGUUGGUUCUUAUAUAUAUAUGUCUGGGAUUAAAAAGAGCAUGAGAACUUGCCAAGCCAUCUGGAAAUGCCAUCAGAGCUGAAACAUUUUUUAGGUUGCUGACAGCAUUGAGCUGGACUUGCUUUUGUUGCUACUACUGCUGAAGAAAAACUCCAGAAAAGGGAGUGAAAGUAGAAAGAAGAGAGGUUGCACAAGAUGAGUAAUGAUGGGUAGCGGUAGAGGCUGAAACUGUGGUGAU